UACGUAGGUGGCAAGCGUUGUCCGGAUUUAUUGGGUUUAAAGGGUGCGUAGGCGGUUUAAUAAGUCAGUGGUGAAAUACGGCAGCUCAACUGUCGAGGUGCCAUUGAUACUGUUGGACUUGAGUACAGACGAGGUAGGCGGAAUUGACGGUGUAGCGGUGAAAUGCUUAGAUAUCGUCAAGAACACCGAUAGCGAAGGCAGCUUACUAGGCUGUAACUGACGCUGAGGCACGAAAGUGUGGGGAUCAAACAGG
Molecule: ribosomal RNA, 253 nt
Filed under: uncultured bacterium
Lineage: Bacteria
Description: partial 16S ribosomal RNA
Rfam family: Bacterial small subunit ribosomal RNA
Source: RNAcentral